GGUUAAGUGACUAAGCGUACAGGGCGGAUGCCUUGGCAAUCAGAGGCGAUGAAGGACGUGCUAAUCUGCGAAAAGCUUGGAUGAGUCGAUAAGAGGCGUUUAAUCCAAGAUAUCCGAAUGGGGAAACCCAGUAGAUGAAGAAUCUACUAUCAAUAAAUGAAUACAUAGUUUAUUGAGGCGAACCGGGAGAACUGAAACAUCUAAGUACCCCGAGGAAAAGAAAUCAACCGAGAUUCUGUGAGUAGCGGCGAGCGAAAGCGGAAGAGCCAGUAAGUUUUAGCUAGCAUAUUAGAGGAAUUGGCUGGGAAGCCAAAUCAAAGAGGGUGAUAAUCCCGUACUCGAAAGUAUGUUAGUGGAACUAAGCUUACGAUAAGUAAGGCGGGACACGAGAAAUCCUGUUUGAAGAUGGGGGGACCAUCCUCCAAGGCUAAAUACUCCUGAUUGACCGAUAGUGAACCAGUACUGUGAAGGAAAGGCGAAAAGAACCCCGGUGAGGGGAGUGAAAUAGAACCUGAAACCCUGUACGUACAAGCAGUAGGAGCGAGGGCAACCUUGUGACUGCGUACCUUUUGUAUAAUGGGUCAGCGACUUAUAUUUUGUAGCGAGGUUAACUGAAUAAGGGAGCCGAAGGGAAACCGAGUCUUAACUGGGCGUUGAGUUGCAAGGUAUAGACCCGAAACCCGGUGAUCUAGCCAUGGGCAGGUUGAAGGUUGGGUAACACUAACUGGAGGACCGAACCGACUAAUGUUGAAAAAUUAGCGGAUGACUUGUGGCUGGGGGUGAAAGGCCAAUCAAACCGGGAGAUAGCUGGUUCUCCCCGAAAUCUAUUUAGGUAGAGCCUUGAGCGGACACCUUCGGGGGUAGAGCACUGUUUCGGCUAGGGGUCCAUCCCGGAUUACCAACCCGAUGCAAACUGCGAAUACCGAAGAGUGAUACUCAGGAGACACACGGCGGGUGCUAACGUUCGUCGUGGAGAGGGAAACAACCCAGACCGCCAGCUAAGGUCCCAAAGUCUAUAUUAAGUGGGAAACGAAGUGGGAAGGCUUAGACAGCUAGGAUGUUGGCUUAGAAGCAGCCAUCAUUUAAAGAAAGCGUAAUAGCUCACUAGUCGAGUCGGCCUGCGCGGAAGAUGUAACGGGGCUCAAAUAUAGCACCGAAGCUGCGGCAUCAGAAUUUAUUCUGUUGGGUAGGGGAGCGUUGUGUAAGCGGAUGAAGGUGGCUCGAGAGGGUUGCUGGACGUAUCACAAGUGCGAAUGCUGACAUAAGUAACGAUAAAACGAGUGAAAAACUCGUUCGCCGGAAGACCAAGGGUUCCUGUCCAACGUUAAUCGGGGCAGGGUGAGUCGGCCCCUAAGGCGAGGCUGAAAAGCGUAGUCGAUGGGAAACGGGUUAAUAUUCCCGUACUUGGAUAAACUGCGAUGUGGGGACGGAGAAGGUUAGGUUAGCAGACUGUUGGAUGUCUGUUUAAGGUGGUAGGUGGAAGACUUAGGCAAAUCCGGGUCUUUAUAAACACUGAGAGCUGAUGACGAGGUCUUAAGGGACUGAAGUAACUGAUACCCUGCUUCCAGGAAAAGCCACUAAGCUUCAGGUUUAUCUAAACCGUACUGAAAACCGACACAGGUGGUCAGGUAGAGAAUACUCAGGCGCUUGAGAGAACUCGGGUGAAGGAACUAGGCAAAAUAGCACCGUAACUUCGGGAGAAGGUGCGCUUACAGUAAUUGUAGUCCCUUGCGGAUGAAGGUGAAGUAAGUCGAAGAUACCAGCUGGCUGCAACUGUUUAUUAAAAACACAGCACUCUGCAAACACGAAAGUGGACGUAUAGGGUGUGAUGCCUGCCCGGUGCUGGAAGGUUAAUUGAUGGUGUUAUCGAAAGAGAAGCUCCUGAUCGAAGCCCCAGUAAACGGCGGCCGUAACUAUAACGGUCCUAAGGUAGCGAAAUUCCUUGUCGGGUAAGUUCCGACCUGCACGAAUGGCAUA
Molecule: ribosomal RNA, 1977 nt
Filed under: Pasteurella multocida
Lineage: Bacteria; Pseudomonadati; Pseudomonadota; Gammaproteobacteria; Pasteurellales; Pasteurellaceae
Description: partial 23S ribosomal RNA
Rfam family: Bacterial large subunit ribosomal RNA
Source: RNAcentral